GAUGAACGCUGGCGGCGUGCUUAACACAUGCAAGUCGAACGGUGAAGCAGGAGCUUGCUCUUGUGGAUCAGUGGCGAACGGGUGAGUAACACGUGAGCAACCUGUCCCUGACUCUGGGAUAAGCGCUGGAAACGGCGUCUAAUACUGGAUAUGUGAUGUGACCGCAUGGUCUGCAUCUGGCAAGAAUUUCGGUUGGGGAUGGGCUCGCGGCCUAUCAGCUUGUUGGGGAGGUAAUGGCUCACCAAGGCGUCGAAGGGUAGCAGGCCUGAGAGGGUUAGCGGACAAACGGGGACUCAGCCACGACCCAGACUCCUACGGGAGGCAGCAGUGCGGAAUGUUGCACAAUGGGCGGAAUCCUGAUCCAGCAACGCCGCGUGAGGGAUGACGGGCUUCGGGUUGUAAACCUCUUUUAGCAGGGAAGAAGCGAAAGUGACGGUACCUGCAGAAAAAGCACCGGCUAACUACGUGCCAGCAGCCGCCGUAA
Molecule: ribosomal RNA, 484 nt
Filed under: uncultured bacterium
Lineage: Bacteria
Description: partial 16S ribosomal RNA
Rfam family: Bacterial small subunit ribosomal RNA
Source: RNAcentral